GUUCCAGACUCCUACGGGAGGCAGCAGUGGGGAAUAUUGCACAAUGGGGGAAACCCUGAUGCAGCGACGCCGCGUGAGUGAAGAAGUAUUUCGGUAUGUAAAGCUCUAUCAGCAGGGAAGAAAAUGACGGUACCUGACCAAGAAGCCCCGGCUAACUACGUGCCAGCAGCCGCGGUAAUACGUAGGGGGCAAGCGUUAUCCGGAUUUACUGGGUGUAAAGGGAGCGUAGACGGCUGAGCAAGUCAGAAGUGAAAGCCCGGGGCUCAACCCCGGGACUGCUUUUGAAACUGCGGAGCUGGAGUGCAGGAGAGGUAAGCGGAAUUCCUGGUGUAGCGGUGAAAUGCGUAGAUAUCAGGAGGAACACCAGUGGCGAAGGCGGCUUACUGGACUGUAACUGACGUUGGGGCUCGAAAGCGUGGGGAGCAAACAGGAUUAGAUACCCUAGUAGA
RNAcentral lists this ribosomal RNA (449 nucleotides) under uncultured bacterium. Its description in RNAcentral is "bacterial SSU rRNA". It matches the Rfam family "Bacterial small subunit ribosomal RNA", at positions 328 to 794 of the family's 1533-position model. The record is from RNAcentral.